ACCUACGGGAGGCAGCAGUGGGGGAUAUUGCACAAUGGGGGGAACCCUGAUGCAGCGACGCCGCGUGGGUGAAGAAGCGCCUCGGCGCGUAAAGCCCUGUCAGCAGGGAAGAAAAUGACGAUACCUGAAGAAGAAGCCCCGGCUAACUACGUGCCAGCAGCCGCGGUAAUACGUAGGGGGCAAGCGUUAUCCGGAUUUACUGGGUGUAAAGGGGGCGCAGACGGCGAUGCAAGCCAGGAGUGAAAGCCCGGGGCCCAACCCCGGGACUGCCCUUGGAACUGCGUGGCGGGAGUGCAGGAGGGGCC
RNAcentral lists this ribosomal RNA (305 nucleotides) under uncultured bacterium. Its description in RNAcentral is "bacterial SSU rRNA". It matches the Rfam family "Bacterial small subunit ribosomal RNA", at positions 337 to 659 of the family's 1533-position model. The record is from RNAcentral.